CAUUACAGAUGGUUGGGAGCCACCAUGUGGUUGCUGGGAAUUGAACUCAGGACCUCUGGAAGAACAGGCAGUGUCAUCUCUCCAGACCUACCAAUGAGAAAUCUUAUUCCAACAAAGUGUGGCCCUCCUGUAACAUGUUCAGUUGAAGGCUCUGACCUUCCAGGACAGAGGACGGCCAUUUCUUAGUUCAAGGCCAAUGAAAAGGGCAGUUUGGUCCAAAGGACGGAGUUAUGAUUGGGAAGACGGAGCUGAGGAAUGCGCGGUCCAUUUAAAGCCUGGAAGGAGCCGCUGGUGACCUGUUUACGCGUUCUCCAUUCUCGGUCUUCUCUUGUGGUUACUGCACGGACUCUGCUUGAUAACAAACUGUAAAGUAAUCCUUUGACUCCCUUUAUCAUCUGGCGCCCAUCUGAACCGGCUGCUUGCGCCCAGCCUCCUGCCCCAUGGCGGUGGUGAGGCUGUCCGCCGGCGCACACACGCCCCCGAGGCCGCCCCAGCGCUUUCCGAGCACCAGCCCCUCGGCUCCGGAGCUCCGGCCCGGCACCCCGGAGCUUCCCGCCCCUUCCCCAGCGCUCCUCGGUCACGCACGGUUCUGCAACGUCCUAGGGGCGGGAAAAGUCCGGAUCGCGUUCACGAGAGCUCUGGCAGGAGGAAGGUAGCGCUCGCGGCUGAACUCCCUCCCCAUCGCGCCGGAGGCAUUCCGUGGUCGCAUCAGCCCCAGCCCGGAGGUCGCGCGCGUGGCCCCACCCGGCUCACAGCGGCUUGUGGCGCCCGCGUUCCAUAGUCUCGGAGCUGCCUUCCGCCUGGGUCUUCCUCGCCUUUGUUGGAGCAGCCACACACCACUCCUGAUCCCCCAGGCAGCCCUGGCACGUGCGGAGCAGUGACCCCAGCCGCUUAUAUCCCGCCCCACUCGGAGCUUCCUACAGGCUCGGCUCCGGCUAGGUUUAGCAGCCGGCCCACCCGGCACUCAGCCUGAGGCUCUCUGGCUAACACAACGUUGUUGAUUGUAGUUUCAAUUCUGGUUAGAAAUACAGGUCUGUUAAAUUCGGGGACCCCCAAAGCCUUGGCGCCACACCUACGACAUCUGCUGGCCAAACAUCGUUAUAACAGCCUAAAAUCUUGUGCCUGCUGGUCGAUCGAGAUUAUCACACACCUACGACGAUCUUCCGUGGAUUUUAACGGAUGUAACUUUAUUUGGUAACUUUACAUUUUAGCCAGAUUAAUAAAUAAUUUUUAAAAAUUUCCACGCCAAUGGCGGGCAACAUCACUUUGCACGAAAGUAGAGGUCUGCUCUAUUUCUGCUUUUGAUAGAAUGCUAAGAAAGAUAAGCAACCCAGCUUUGAUGGGUACAUUUUUAGUUAUAAUUGUUAUUAGUCUGGUAAUUCAUAUCCUAUCCUUUAGAAGGAGGUUUGAUAACGGUGCUAAAAAUGAGAAUCUGACUAAGAUGGUCCUGACUUUGCAAUAUGGCAAUGAGAAAUUGGCUGAUAAACUACAGGCAAUUGAAAAAGGUUAUGACAAAUUAUUAGAAACAGUUCUGAAUUUAGAAAGUCGUUUGCAUACCGAACAGAUAAUCAAUAAGGAAGACAAGGCAGACUUGAGAGACAAGUUAAAAACUUUAGAGAUAUACAUGAAUGAGGAAAACAAGAAACGUAGUGAUUUAAUGAAGGCUUUGUAAGCAGUCACUAUUAAAAAGUUCAGACAUUACAAGAAGCAACCACUAAUAGAUUCCAAGCCUUAGAAGAACUUACUAAGACUGAUAAAAAAGGAAGUUCACACACACAAAGAAGUCGUAGUAAAGAAGUUAACCACAAUGGUACCUCUUAGAGUUAGCUUAGAUUCUAGUUGGUAUUAAUAAAAACCCAGAGAUAGAUACUGGGGUUAAAACUGAAGAUCAGAGAAGCAAAGCAGCCAGCCACUAGCUCUUACCACUACCUCAGACUGAAAGAAAGAUCCUAUCUCCAAAGCUCAGACUGCUCUGAGCUCCUGGCUCCUCUCACUUUAUAUUCCUCUCUAGUGCUGGGAUUAAACAUAUGGGAUCCCAAAUGCUAAAUUCACCUUUGUGUGAGCUCUGUUUCUCUUUUAGACUGGACCAAUUUCUUGUAGCCCAGGGUGGCCUUAAACUAACAGACCCCAUCUGCUUCUGUCUCCCAAGUGUUGGGAUUAAAGGUGUGUACCACCACUACUUGGUCUCUGGCUAACUAGUGUGGCUAGCUUUGCACUCUGAUCUUCAGGCAAGCUUGUUAGAUAAUCAACAAAAUAUCACCACAGUUAACUGUUUAUGAAAGGCCAGAAAAAUAACAAUUGCCCCAAAGGAUAUGCAGACUGCCAAUGGGAACCUAUACACAUAUAAAAUUUAAAAGAUGUUAGGUUUCUUUUUGUUAUUGUUUUUGUUUUUUGAGGCAGGGUUUCUCUGUGGCUUUGGAGGCUGUCCUGAAACUAGCUUUUGUAAAGCAGGCUGGUCUCGAACUCACAGAGAUCCGCCUGCCUCUGCCUCCUAAGUGCUAGGACUAAAGGCGUGCCCCACCAAUGCUUGGCAAGAAGAUAUUAGGUUUCUUACGGUGUGCAUUCUGCAUGUGUGAGGCAGUUAUUUGUUAAAUAAAUUGUCUUUUAGCAAUAGGAUCACUACAUAUUGUUGUGCCCAAAUUCUGAACACCCAAAUCACCAAGAGGCCCAUUUCGAUGAAAAAGCAAUGUGUCUUUUAUUGAAGUUGUUUAAUGAGCUAAACCCAUUAGCUCAGGCCUUUCAUCCAUCCACCAUGGCAGAUGGCUUGGGAAAGACCCCGAGAAACCACAGGACAGAGAUCUUAUAAGGCAGCAUAAGGGGAGU
Molecule: non-coding RNA, 2823 nt
Organism: Cricetulus griseus (Chinese hamster)
Lineage: Eukaryota; Metazoa; Chordata; Mammalia; Rodentia; Cricetidae
Source: RefSeq, a predicted model, not a curated record